AACAUUCCAGGCUCUGUGAACUAAGUGACUGAAGCUGAUUGACACAGGUCAAGGGGACUUCAAGGAAGAAAGCCAGCCUUAGACUGACAUCAGAGAACCAAACUCCGGUGUCUAAGCUCAAGCUCCUGCUUCCUGACCUGCUUGAGUUCCAGUCCUGACCUCCUUUGGUGAUGAACAGCAAUGUGGAAGUUUCCUGCCUUGACUUCUCUACAAUAAUGGACUGUAACCGAGAAUGGAAAGCCAAAGAAAGUCCUUCCUCUUCUAAGCUGCUCUUGGUCGUGGUGUUUCAUCACAACAACAGAAGAGAACCUAGGACAAUCACCUUACCUGUGAGAGCGAGGAGCCUAUGCAGUAAUACAAGUAAUUGGGAAGACACUGGCUCAGAGCCUGUCUCUGGUGACCACUGAAUUGUCCAGCACCUGAGGUCCCUGGAGCCCACGGACUGAGCCCAUCUGGGCUAAAAGAGGUCCCAUACAUCCUUCUCAAAGGCCUAUAUAAAUGCCAAGCAGAGUUAUAGCAGGAGGUUAGAAUCCUGAGAACUGUUUGGAAUAAGGAAUCCAAAUAUUGUCUUCCAGCUUCACCUUGUCACGACAGUCCUCGCCAGGGACAGCUGAGGAUGGAAACCAGCCCUGCACACUGCUGGCUCUGGAGGCCUGGUAGAUUAACAGGCACCGGACUUACAAUUGGUCUCUUAAGCCUUUCAACUCUUUAGAAGCAAAGGGGAAGGCAUGGAGGGUGCCAUGAAAUCAAAGACAUUGUUCGUAAGCUCCUGGAUCUUAUCAGUGUGAGGAAGUGUUCAAAAAAGUUCUGUCCCCCCUAGAGACAAAAAGACCUCUUCUCUGCCUCCCAGCUCCCAUGGCGCCUCUCUCGAUACGUGGCCUCUUCUGAUACUUACCUCAGCUUGGACACAGCUCUCUGAAGAUCAUCUACAUCUCCAUUUAUGCCGUGUGCACGCAGUACCAACAGAGGUCAGAGGAGGGUGUCGGAUCCCCUGGAACUGGAGUCACAGAUUCUUCCUUGCGUGGAUGAAACAGUCCCAACGAACACUUUAAAAAGACAAAUGUUCCCGACAGCACUGGUUGAAUUCAAAACUCGGCAGAUCCAUGUUCUUAUCCUUAGACAAGAGAGGGGCCAUAACAAGAUGGAAUGACGGAACAGACGUGAGAGAUGAUGGUACAGUGACUCGGGUAACCCCAGAAAAGGGACAGCUCUUCUACAGCUCAGUGGGGACAGGGACAAAAAGAAACAAUUUCAUUUCAGUCCACCCAGAGGGUCUGCACUUCUCGGAGCCAGAAGGUGGAGAAGAGUAGGGAUGGAGGAAGUUCGAAGUUUUAGGAGUCUGCUCUUGGGUCCCUAGGCAUGAGGACAAGCUUUUCCUGUACUCAAUGCUCAUCUCUCAGUUGUGCCCACAUUGGUACACAUUACUUGCUUUCAACUGCUGCUGCUGCUGUUUCCUAAUUCAAUAAAGAUAUGGCUGGCUCAGCAGAGAGCUGUCAUCC
This 1499-nucleotide long non-coding RNA is filed under the name Mus musculus (house mouse). RNAcentral's name for it is "predicted gene 29154". The record is from RNAcentral. Lineage: Eukaryota; Metazoa; Chordata; Mammalia; Rodentia; Muridae.